GUGUCGUGUGUGCCAUUAAAAACCUGACAAAGGUCUUAAUUAAUUAUAAUUAUUAUAUGCAAGAAGAGUGGGUAGGAUGUCUGUGUGCGCCAUUGAAGCCAUUUGUUACAUUAUUUGUCCCCUAACCUAGCGCUGGUCCAGAAGCAGAGCACUCUACUGGUGUCAUGUUGCCACGGAUGUUACAUGCACACACUCAUGCACACAACAGGGGGCAUCAUCAUAAUUCUACCUUUAUUGCAUUGUAACAUAGAUUAUAAAUGUGGAUUUGUACACUACAAUCAUCAUUGUAACAUGUUAUAAAAAUGAAGCACUAAAAACGUUACCAAACAGUUAGUACAGUUUUAAUGUCAGGAUUUUUUUUUGAAAGAUCAUUUGUUAGGAUCUUUUUUUUUUCCCCAUUCAAGAAAUAAAACAGAAAACCAACCUUCCAGAUAAGGAACUGAAGAGAAACAGAACAGAAAGCCAAGCAGACAGGUCACUGUUUAAACUGCAAAGAGACAGAUACAGGGUUCGGGGUUCAGGGGUCAAAGGUCGAUGGUGGAGUGGGAGUGGCCGGUCCCUGAGGCCAUCUGUGCUGACAUCAUCUGGGAGUUUACUAGUGGGGAUGGGGGGUGGGAGGGGUGGUCUGUCAUUGAGUGUACACACAUACAGCACGGGGGGGGGGGGGGACUUCACCACGAGAGCUGGGGAACACAGAGACGAGGUCAACACUAGGCUACACACAGCGGUCCGCACACAAGGAGCACAGGAAAUAGAGACUGAUUACUGGAGACCAAUAGACACAAAAAAAUAAACUCUAUCUACAUCCUAACGACUGUUAAAGUAUUUCUUAUUUAUAAUAUAAUUAUUUGUUUCACCAGUCAAUCUUCUCUCUCUCUCUCUCUCAAUGGCUUCUGAGCAUUUCACAAAGGAUUGAGGGGGAAAAACAGCAUCAUUUCUCAGGGUCACCUGCAGGGGGAGUCAUCCCGUCAACAGUUUGGUCCCACUGCUUAAAACACUCCUUCCAACCAACACACCACACUUAACACACAACAGCCAACACACUCCACUUCUCCAAACGGACCCAUGGCAAAUCCAUUAAACAGCGACAGACAGUGGGGCUGGAGUUCACCCCUCAACCUUUCCCCCAGGGGGGCGCUCUCCACGUUAAUUAAGUAAUUCGUUACCAUGACAACAGUCAGAAUCACUCAGCCAAAUGCACUCUCAGUGACCAGACCAAGAGUGCUCAGAUGAACACAUUAAGCUCGGGGACCACACUGAACACACUCGAACAAACCUUGAGCAUUUGUGCUCAUGUUAUUCAGGGCGGUUACACUCGGACUGUCCUGACUGGGACUGCUAGGAUAGACCUGACCAAUCACACUCAGACAGACCUAGGCACCGGUCGGAUAGUCCGUCCUAACGUCUUUUCCUAGACCUCGAUGGAAAACGUCAUGAGGUGAAGGAAAGAUGUUAAGUAGAAUUCAUAAGGACUUAUGAAAAGACCGCCGCGAUGCUAAGAGAAUCCGAAUGCACAUACACCAGGCUACUAAUUAUUGGGAGGCGGAUGUUAUUGACGUGGGUCACGUUGAUAAGUUGUUGAUUGGUUUGUUGUUGUUGAUUAGUUUGUUGUUGCUGCGGUACUAUCUCCUUUCCUUUCAUGAAGGUUGGUCCAGUGCAGACAGACCUGACCAAUCACACUCAGAGCAUCCUCAGAC
This is a long non-coding RNA of Clupea harengus (Atlantic herring), 1697 nucleotides long. The record is from Ensembl. NCBI's taxonomy places the organism in Eukaryota, Metazoa, Chordata, Actinopteri, Clupeiformes, Clupeidae.